AUACGUAGGGUGCGAGCGUUGUCCGGAAUUACUGGGCGUAAAGAGCUCGUAGGUGGUUUGUCGCGUCGUCUGUGAAAUUCCGGGGCUUAACUCCGGGCGUGCAGGCGAUACGGGCAUAACUUGAGUACUGUAGGGGAGACUGGAAUUCCUGGUGUAGCGGUGAAAUGGGCAGAUAUCAGGAGGAACACCGGUGGCGAAGGCGGGUCUCUGGGCAGUAACUGACGCUGAGGAGCGAAAGCAUGGGUAGCGAACAGGAUUAGAUACCCUGGUAGUCCAUGCCGUAAACGGUGGGCGCUAGGUGUAGGGGUCUUCCACGACUUCUGUGCCGUAGCUAACGCAUUAAGCGCCCCGCCUGGGGAGUACGGCCGCAAGGCUAAAACUCAAAGGAAUUGACGGGG
Molecule: ribosomal RNA, 398 nt
Filed under: uncultured bacterium
Lineage: Bacteria
Description: partial 16S ribosomal RNA
Rfam family: Bacterial small subunit ribosomal RNA
Source: RNAcentral